Molecule: long non-coding RNA, 1832 nt
Filed under: Canis lupus familiaris (dog)
Lineage: Eukaryota; Metazoa; Chordata; Mammalia; Carnivora; Canidae
Description: lncRNA (ENSCAFG00000050575.1)
Source: RNAcentral
AGGGAAUUAUUUGCUUGUCUUUGACCACCGUGCACUGCAUCUCUUUGAUGCUCUGAUGUUCACCGCUCCCUCAACCAAGUGCUGCCUCUUCCCGGGCAGAUUGUCUCUCCGGCAUCCCUCUGGCCUUCCCACUCUGGCUCCCAUAGCCUCUGGGCCAACUCCGCUCUGAACUAUAGUUACGAGACGGGCAUCUGUCUUCCCCACCAUGCUACAAACCCCUGAGAAGAGGUCCUGCCUUUUAUGACUUAGAUUCCCCACAGGAAGCGUAUUACUGGCACACAGAGGUUCUCAAGACAAACAUUCCUUAAAUGAACAAACAGGUAAUCACAUGAAUGGAGGCCAAGGAGCACAAGUGACGCUCAUGUGUUCAGGGAGCAGUAAAGGGACUGAUUGAUAACAGAGCCUGGGAGGUGGGCAGAUUCCACCUUGCGGCAGUUUCAGUCCACACCGAUGAUCAAACUGGAUGGAUUCAGGGCUUUGAAGGCACGCACGAUUGCAAAGAGCAAGUUCAAUUUCCUUUGGGAGCUGCCGAACAUUAAAUUAACCUUUUUAAUCCUUGAAAAGCGGCGCAAACGCAGUCUGCACACUUUGUGUGCUCUGCAGCUGACUGGGGUAGGGGGGAACACCAGCCUUUGGAGCAUUAGAGAGAAAGCUAUUAAAGCUGCGUAUUUUUUAAAAGAGAGAGAGUAUAAAGAAGAAUUACAAGAAGCCCCCGAAAUUACAAGUGUGGGUUACAGUAAUUGCUAAAUUACAGAGCUCCAGCUUUAUUAGACACACACCCCCUCGGCUUCUGCCGAUUUCUAGGGCUGUCUUGAGCUGACAAAAGCCAAAAAGCCCUGUGGGAAGUCUGGCAGGGAGCUGAAUGGGGCUAAUGGGAACCCCCCCUUGUGGGUGAGGCUGGGACACAGAAGUCUGGGUCAAGACCAGGGCAGUUUCUGUUUUCUAGUUAUGAAUUCAUAGGUGGGGGGUGGAGUAGACAAUGUACCAUGUGCUGGGGUUUGGAGGUAGAACGGGGGUGUUCACAUUUUCCUACUAUGUGGAAGCAGCCGUGGCCUGUGACCAGUUGAUUUGGAAAUCUGAGAUGUGUCCCGGGGUCUUUGAGGGCCCUGGAUUCAGCAGAGAAGGCCCUUCAUCAGGCUGAUAGUCAUCAUUUUCUCCAUCCACAGCCUUAGCAUCUAAGCUCGGUGUCCUGUUCAAUAGCACUCCCCCUCCAUACACCUGCCUGCUGCCACACCAGCCACAGAUGGGCACAUGCCACCUACCUUUUACGUACAGACACACAUUAACUUUAUCAUGCUGUCAUCUUCUUUCCCAAACACUAAAGAGAAAGACCUCAGCUUACCUUCAAAACACCGGAAGCGAGUGGCAAAAUUAAUCUAAUGAAUGCUACAUCCAAGCCCAGACCCGGCUCAACUGGACACUAGAUGGCUUAGCCCCUCACACUUACGGCCUGAAAGAAGAAGGGUCGUUUUCUUUUUUCCAAGAGGAAUGUAUUUAAUUUUUCCAGGAGAAAUGUAUUUAAUUUUUCCAGGAGAAAUGUAUUUAUGUUGCACACUCCUGGCUUUUUUACAUAUAGCAUUUAGGGUAAAUAAAAAAUUACAUGCAAAGAAGCAGGAAAAUGUGACCCAUAAUCAGGAGAAAAACUGUCAGUAGAAGUAGACCCAGAGAUGGUUGAGAUGUUAGAAUGACUGGACAAGGAGUUUAUGAUAAAGAUGUUAAAAUAUCUAGUAGGGAAGGAGGCAGCAGGUGAAUAGGGCAGCAGAAAGGGCACCAGAUGGGGCUGCAAACAGCUCACCAUCUCCUCUGCUGUCAGCUCUGCCCUCCUCCUUCUG